RNAcentral lists this long non-coding RNA (2151 nucleotides) under Malus domestica (apple). Its description in RNAcentral is "long non-coding RNA (MDOM_LNC007049)". The record is from RNAcentral. Lineage: Eukaryota; Viridiplantae; Streptophyta; Magnoliopsida; Rosales; Rosaceae.
UUUGUUGCAGGUGUGCGUGAGUGGUGAAAGGUACGAUUUUUGGUUUCUUAUAUUCUACAUAAUCUCUCUCUCUCUCUCUCUCUCUCUCUCUCUCUCUCUCUUUCUCCCAAAAUUUGGUUUAAGAAAAUUUAUACAUGCAAUUCACGUGAUUAUGUAUUUGUACCAAUAAAGAGAUGUUAUGUAAUCAAAGUUCUGAUUUUAUUGCAAGGGGUUUGUAAUUAGUCAAGCUCUUAAGAACGUUUACUUUCGUAGUAUUAAACGGUUAAAAGCAUUAACUUUUGUAAUCCGUGUCCAUUAUAUAUAUGAUUAGGAAACUAAAAAAUAACCGUUGAUUUUAGGAAAUGAAUGGGAAAUUUAGGAACGAGUAAGAACUUUAAAUACUUAGGGAUGCAGAAAGUAAGGAAUAAGUCUCAUUCAUAAUUUUUAGGAAUUUGUAUUACUGAUUUUCUCAAGAAGAAACGAUAUUUUUCUUCUCAUACUCAUUACUAAUAAGUAAACUAAGUCAUAAUGUAUUUUUUUACCAUAAAUUUGUAAUAAAAUUAAAGCGCGCUUAAAAGCAGUUAUAUUGUAAUUUGUAUCCGAGAACUUAUGUUUCAUUCCCUUCUCUCGUUUUCAUUGUCUUUAACGUUUUCUUCUUUUUUUUUUCAAUCUUUAACGUAAUUCUUUCUCAUACGUGCUUUUUGUCUUUGAAGCUAUCGGGUUUUUGGUGAUGGAGUCUUCCCUUUUCACAUACGUAUGUUUUCAGGUUGAAGUAGGUGCAUUCCUUUACUUAUAAUCUAAAAUUGUUCGUAUAUAAAAAUUGGCUUUUACUCUUCUUCUUUCGUUGCCUUGGAUGAACAAUUUAAAGGUCAAAUUUUUAUAUUCUUACCUCUUAAAUUUCUAAUGUGAGGGCGAGCUUUAGCGCAACAAAACAUGUUGCUUCUUUCUGAUCAAAAGAUUACGAGUUUAAAUUGUGAAUCAUCAUCUUUACAAAGUAAAAAUAAGAUUGCGUACGGUAAACAUUCCAUCUGACCAUAUGCUUUGCUAUUUGCUUGUUUAUUACGAGCCAUGAAUAUAUUAGUGGCUAGACUGUGCUUAAUUCUUCCCUUUCUGAUUUAUUAAGCUUCGAAUCCAACAGCCCAAAAAGGUCAUUAAACUUUGAAAAGAAUUAUUCACCUAUUACUACUCCUAACAAUCUUGUUCAUAAAUAAAGUUUCAAAUCAAAUCUCCUUAUGGAGAAAGCAUCACCUCAAUUAUGCUAUGAUUUUCUUCAAUUUUUUCUGUACUGCACUAAAAAAAAUGGAUUUGGAUUGUCUGCCCUCCCAUUUCGGUGCCCUCCUGUUUGUGUGGUCACGUUUAAGCCACGUCAACAUUUUAUAUUACUAUUUUUUUUUGUUUUAUUAUUUUUAUAAAAAAACAAUAUAAAAUAUUGACGUGGCUUAACCGUGACCACAUAAAACAAGAGGGCACCAAAAUGGGAGGGCAGACAAUCCAAAUCCAAAAAAAACAACUUAUUUCCAUUGUUCAUGAUUUUUUUUUAGAGAACUUUAACGAAAAACUCCAAGUACUGUUCACUUUAACGAAAAAAUAUAUUUUUACACUAAAAAGUCAAUCCUGGUACUCUUCACUUUACCCUUUAUUUUGUCUUUAUCGUUAAAACUCAAAGUUUUUAAAUUCUUUUUAUUAGUUUUCAUUUUCUUUUAAUAAUUGUCAUUGAUUUUUUUUUUUUUUUGGUACCGUUUUACCACUUUUUUUAUUUUUAGUAAGAUAUUCAUUAUUUUGGUGAAUAAUGACUAAGUACACAGACGAUAAAAACCCUUCAAGGAUUUCAACUCGACCCAAAGGGAAAAAAAAAAAUCCCACACGUUUCUCUGUAACGUUAAUGUUUUUACUACUUUAGUCUUUUCUUCUUCUUUCCUGUUCUACUGCAACUCAUUGUUAUUGUAUUAAUAUGAAAAUGAAAGUUAAUGAAUUUCAAUUAUCUCUCUAAUCUUAAUUAGAUGAGCUGGUGAUUAGCAACCAAUCUGACCUAUGUGAGCUAGAGAUUCGUGAAUUGCCGACAUACCCUUUGAGAAGGCAUUAUCUGGAAGGUACAACUGGAGACAAAAAUGUAUGCUGCUAGGAGAUGAGAAACUUAUAUUAUUAAUUAAGCCUUGACUCUUAAACCUUUUU